AUGAACGCUGGCGGCGUGCCUCAUACAUGCACGUCGAGCGAACAGACGAGGAGCUUGCUCCUCUGACGUUAGCGGCGGACGGGUGAGUAACACGUGGAUAACCUACCUAUAAGACUGGGAUAACUUCGGGAAACCGGAGCUAAUACCGGAUAAUAUAUUGAACCGCAUGGUUCAAUAGUGAAAGACGGUUUUGCUGUCACUUAUAGAUGGAUCCGCGCCGCAUUAGCUAGUUGGUAAGGUAACGGCUUACCAAGGCGACGAUGCGUAGCCGACCUGAGAGGGUGAUCGCCCACACGGGAACGGAGACCCGGUCAAGACUCCUACGGGAGGCAGCAGUAGGGAAUCUUCCGCAAUGGGCGAAAGCCUGACGGAGCAACGCCGCGUGAGUGAUGAAGGUCUUCGGAUCGUAAAACUCUGUUAUUAGGGAAGAACAAAUGUGUAAGUAACUAUGCACGUCUUGACGGUACCUAAUCAGAAAGCCACGGCUAACUAC
RNAcentral lists this ribosomal RNA (493 nucleotides) under uncultured bacterium. RNAcentral describes it as "partial 16S ribosomal RNA". It matches the Rfam family "Bacterial small subunit ribosomal RNA", at positions 29 to 504 of the family's 1533-position model. The record is from RNAcentral.